RNAcentral lists this long non-coding RNA (2941 nucleotides) under Triticum aestivum (bread wheat). RNAcentral describes it as "long non-coding RNA (TAES_LNC016687)". Lineage: Eukaryota; Viridiplantae; Streptophyta; Magnoliopsida; Poales; Poaceae. The record is from RNAcentral.
UCUCACCGGGGACGCCCCGAGGGGAUAAGGCCGACCCCUCGGGCUCCUUCCCCCUGCUCCACUCACAUCGCCAACCACUCGCCCACACCCACUUGCCCCCUCUCCCCCUCUGGUUCUGCCUCCCUCCUCUAGAUCCUCCUUCUCCUGAGCGCAUCCAUGGCCAUUCCGCGGGAGUAGCUGCGACCACCAGCCUUUACUCAUCGCGCCAAUACAUCCAGGAGCUUCGCCGUUGUCGUCUCCUUCGACUACAUCCAUCAGUUCGAGCCGGGACUUCGUCAAGCUUCGGGAUCGAGCCUUCUCCCCGUCGGAAACCGUCGCCAUCUUGCCGCUGCCCCGCAAGCUCCAGUCCAACUCCCGCCUCCCCGACGUCGCCUACAUGCUCGCAGUAAGCACCUUGUUUGAUUCCCCCUGUUUGCCCUUCGAAUCCAUCACCGUAGAUGACUUCCCACGCUCGCCGUCGUUCACCAUGGUCGGAACUCACCCGUGCACACACGUUCACAUGCUUCUGAUGCUCGAGGCUGUGCUGCCAUUGCUAUUGCCCUGUUGCUGCUGCUCGUCCUUCGCGCCUGUCACCGCUACUGCGUUGUUGGUACUACGGCUUCCGCUGCUCCUUGCUAUGCUGCUUGUUGCGGCUGCUUCUCCCACCGCUGGUUGCCGCUGCUCCCGCGGCUAGGUGCCGUCGCUGUUGCGCCACUGCUACAUGUGCCAGCCCACUGCGCUGCACUCCCCCCUCGACCGAUGCGGUGGCCGCUGGCGCUUCCUGCACGCCGCCGGAGCACCCCGGCCGCUCCCGCCCGCGAGAGGAUGCCCCUCGUGCGCGCUGCUGCCUCCCAACUGCGAUCGUGCCUCCAGGCCAUCGUGGUUGCCGGUGCCUUGCUGCCUGGGUAAUCCCCCGCUCCCGGCGGUGCUCCUCGUUGCUGGCCGCCAGCGCCUUAAGCCCAACGCGCCUGUGCACAGAGCCAGAGGCCGGCUGGCUCUCUGUAUUAAGGGCCGGCCCUGUUAGAUUAGUUAGAGAUAGGUUAGAUGUUAAUUAGUGUAUUAGGAUUAGUCUAAUGUAUCACUGAUAGGUGGACCCACUGUUAGUUAAACAAAAAUUAUUGAUAUAAUAAAGCUAGAGGCAAUGAAAAGUGGGACCCAAACACUAUUCACCUUUUGAACAGUCAAAUGUUGACCUGGUCAACUCUGCUGACUGAACCACUCCUUGACCCCAUUGGUCAUACACUCAGGCUAGUGUAGAGCUAGGUGACAAAUGUAUAUUCUGUUUUUAAUUCAAAUUAAUAAUAAUGUUAAAAAGGGUUUAAAUCUUUAAAGAAUUAAUAGAAAAUAAUCCGUACCUCGGAUGAAAAAACUUUGUACAUGAAAAUUGCUCAGAACGACGAGACAAAUCCAAAUGCAUGGUCCAUUUACCAAUACGAUGCCUCUACCUAUUUGAACUUGGAACAUUCCCCCUCCGGUCAUCUGUCUGACACACGUCCGACACCGAGAAAAUUUUUCCGGAUGUUUUCCCCCUUCGCCAGUAUCGCCUAGCAUUGCGUUAGAACACCUCUAGCCCCGCUUAUUGUCAUGUUAUGCAUAUGUUUGCGUGUAUUUACUGUUACUUCCCCCUCUUCUCUCCGGUAGACCCUGAGACCGCUGCUGAUGCCACUGUUAUCGACUACGUCGAAGACGACCCUUCCAGUGGAGCUUCCAGGCAAGCCCCCUCUGAUCAUCCCGAUAUCGCCCAUUCCAUUCUCUCAUGUUUGCAUUAGAUUUUGAUACUGUAAUUGAUUGCUCCUAUUCUGAUGCAUAGCCUGCUUCUGUACCUGCUGUUGUAUCUUACCUGCUUAUCCUAAACUGCUUAGUAUAGGUUGGUUAGUGACCCAUCAUUGACCCCCACCUUUUCCUUGUUGCCCCUACUUCAUCAUCGAUGCCUCGAUCAACGUGACCGAUGACUAGAGCCCGACAUAUCACAUCACAUCACGCCCCUUUUGUUGCUUGAAUCUGCAGAGUUACCAUCGAGUGUCGAGGGUGAUACCUCACACAUCACUCCUGAUGAGAUCUCUGUAGUGUCGCUAUUAGGUCGUGGUCAUCGAGAGUGAUUCCUUGUUAACCACUUCCAAUACGACUCUGUCAUGCAACCCCUCAAGUGUGAACCUCGAGGGUGGUUCCUCUUACGUUCACCUUCAUGAAUACAUCGAGUGGAAUCCACCGAGGGUGAUUCAUCGGGUUUUCCCCUUGAUAUUUGGACACACGGUUACUUUGACUUUACUUGAGACCUUGGUGAAAGUCGGGUGGGCCCGGAGAGCACCCGCAAGAUAAUUACGUGGCAUGGUCGGGUAUUCCAUGCCCUUGUCGUAAGUCCACGAGACGGGGCGACAGGGUCACUUUCGAUCGUGGGUCUCUGCUCGUCUCCACGAGACGGGGUUUGGGUAUUUGUUCUGAGUUGGCAUUUGGCCUUUAUGCACUAACCACCACGCGAGAAUAGUUAUGGGCCUCAACGUCGCAGUAUCAGCCGAAGCUUUGUUAGACGUCCAGUUCGGCAUUGUGGUCGGGCCAGAUCGCACCAUCCAGGCAGAGGUGGUGCUAGUAUCCCCUUGCGCACAACAACCCGGAGUGCAAUGGGCGAUAGGCCCAGACCCCGGAGUGCUUAGGAUGUAGACCAGCGGGGACCUCUCUGUUGAGCCUAGGUAGGGUUGCGACGUGUUGAUCUUCUAAGGCCGGGCAUGACCCAAGAAAGUGUGUCCGGCCAGAGUAAUCAAGCGUGUUGGAAAAUGUAGUGCACCCCUGCAGGGAAGAUUAUCUAUUAAUAGUCGUGUCCACGAUAACGAACGUUAAGGCUUAUAUCCUGAUCUUAUACAACUACAAAUGAAUACUUGAGAUAUGUGGCUCCAGGAUUGCUUUCUCGCAGGGAGCAAAGUUUUAGAUAGCGCGCUAAGCCUCUUAGCGUCGGCCUGACCAAGAG